UGCGGUUCUUGGGUGACACACCUGGAACCAGAGAGGAGGGAGCCUGAUUCCAGGGUGCAUCACCCGAGAACUGCC
Myotis lucifugus (little brown bat) is the source of this 75-nucleotide non-coding RNA. Lineage: Eukaryota; Metazoa; Chordata; Mammalia; Chiroptera; Vespertilionidae. The record is from Rfam.